UGCUAAUCUUGUCCUAGGAGUAGAUCUGCUCCGGAGUUGGUGCUACAAAGGGUUCCACGUGGGAGUUGUCUCUGAUUCUGCUCCAGUGUGGUCUCUCCCGACAUCACUUCUGACUAUCUCAAAGGAUGACGUGAUACUCAAUGCCUUCAGCAAAUCAGAGACUAGCAAGCUGGGAAAACACAGCUCCUGCGAGGUUAGCCUACUACUCUCUGAAGACGGGACCACACCCAAAUCCAAGAAGACUCAAGCUGGCCUUUCCCCUUAUCCCCAGAAACCCAGUUCCUCAAAGGAUAGUGAGGACACCAGCAAAGAGCCCAGCCUUUCUACCCAGACGUUACCUGUGAUCAAGUACUCUGGGCGGACUUCAAGACUUUCUACUUCCUCCACUUUCCAGUCAACCAGUGACUCCCUCCUGGCUGUGAGCCCGUAACUGGCCUCUCUCCAGAAGCCUCUGCCCAGGAGCAUGGGCAUCAGCUACCUCACGGGAACCAGCCUGCUGUUCAGACCAGUCUGAGCCCCUACCCCUUUCACCCUGUCCCUCUUC
RNAcentral lists this small RNA (544 nucleotides) under Pongo abelii (Sumatran orangutan). RNAcentral's name for it is "retained intron". Lineage: Eukaryota; Metazoa; Chordata; Mammalia; Primates; Hominidae. The record is from RNAcentral.